RNAcentral lists this ribosomal RNA (294 nucleotides) under uncultured Mesorhizobium sp. RNAcentral's name for it is "partial 16S ribosomal RNA". It matches the Rfam family "Bacterial small subunit ribosomal RNA", at positions 1091 to 1382 of the family's 1533-position model. The record is from RNAcentral. Lineage: Bacteria; Pseudomonadati; Pseudomonadota; Alphaproteobacteria; Hyphomicrobiales; Phyllobacteriaceae.
AACGAGCGCAACCCUCGCCCUUAGUUGCCAUCAUUCAGUUGGGCACUCUAACGGGGACUGCCCGGUGAUAAGCCGAGAGGAAAGGUGGGGGAUGACGUCAAGUCCUCAUGGCCCUUACGGGCUGGGCUACACACGUGCUACAAUGGUGGUGACAGUGGGCAGCGAGACCGCGAGGUCGAGCUAAUCUCCAAAAGCCAUCUCAGUUCGGAUUGCACUCUGCAACUCGAGUGCAUGAAGUUGGAAUCGCUAGUAAUCGCGGAUCAGCAUGCCGCGGUGAAUACGUUCCCGGGCCUU